ACGUCUUGCUGGUUUAGUGUUCGGCUUGACGCGAUUUUUAAACACUAAUUUAAGGUAUAAACUAUGUCUUUAUCAGUAGAGCAAAAAGCAGCUAUCGUUGCUGAAUACGCAACAAAAGAA
Thalassotalea sp. PP2-459 is the source of this 120-nucleotide regulatory RNA element. It matches the Rfam family "Ribosomal S15 leader". Rfam says of the family: The E. coli Ribosomal S15 gene 5' UTR can form two alternative structures. One that is a series of three hairpins, The other includes a pseudoknot. The record is from Rfam. NCBI's taxonomy places the organism in Bacteria, Pseudomonadati, Pseudomonadota, Gammaproteobacteria, Alteromonadales, Colwelliaceae.